AGAAACUUAGGUUAGCCCUAAACCAGAAGCCUUCAAAGCCUCAAACAGGAGUCACAUUCUUAGUUUCUG
Molecule: transfer RNA, 69 nt
Filed under: Strophurus ciliaris aberrans
Lineage: Eukaryota; Metazoa; Chordata; Lepidosauria; Squamata; Diplodactylidae
Description: tRNA-Trp
Rfam family: tRNA
About the family: Transfer RNA (tRNA) molecules are approximately 80 nucleotides in length. Their secondary structure includes four short double-helical elements and three loops (D, anti-codon, and T loops). Further hydrogen bonds mediate the characteristic L-shaped molecular structure. tRNAs have two regions of fundamental functional importance: the anti-codon, which is responsible for specific mRNA codon recognition, and the 3' end, to which the tRNAs corresponding amino acid is attached (by aminoacyl-tRNA synthetases). tRNAs cope with the degeneracy of the genetic code in two manners: having more than one tRNA (with a specific anti-codon) for a particular amino acid; and 'wobble' base-pairing, i.e. permitting non-standard base-pairing at the 3rd anti-codon position.
Source: RNAcentral